GGGAUCGUAAGUCUGGAACCGUAGAGGAAGCAGCAAAGUUGGCACACGAGUACCAAGAUGGAAGGAAGGUAGAACCCAGUGGAGGAUGACCCCCCUUCAGCCUGUCCUAUCUGGCGCAAAGCACCCCACCACCAUCCAGACCUGCUCCCUUCACCCCUGCACCCACACCAGCACCUUGUGCAAUGGGUGCAGCCAACCCGGGCACUUUAAGAACAAUUUCCCAAACUGUAACAAAGGGAGCUGAGAAUGCACACCACCUCAGCCAGUUCGGGCUGCAGCCCACUAUUACCAGGAUGAUUUUUUUUCUAACACCAAGUUGCCCAGAGUAACAGUGGACAGUCCUACAUGAGGUGAAUCCCAUCCAAGCUGCAGGCGACAGCCGGGAGCACCAUCGGCAGUAGGUAUCCGUACACUGGCAGGAGGC
Pelobates cultripes (western spadefoot toad) is the source of this 424-nucleotide non-coding RNA. The record is from the annotation of a GenBank genome assembly. NCBI's taxonomy places the organism in Eukaryota, Metazoa, Chordata, Amphibia, Anura, Pelobatidae.